This 497-nucleotide ribosomal RNA is filed under the name uncultured bacterium. Its description in RNAcentral is "partial 16S ribosomal RNA". It matches the Rfam family "Bacterial small subunit ribosomal RNA", at positions 28 to 507 of the family's 1533-position model. The record is from RNAcentral.
GAUGAACGCCGGCGGCGUGCCUAAUACAUGCAAGUCGAGCGAACGGACGAGAAGCUUGCUUCUCUGAUGUUAGCGGCGGACGGGUGAGUAACACGUGGAUAACCUACCUAUAAGACUGGGAUAACUUCGGGAAACCGGAACUAAUACCGGAUGAUAUUUUGAACCGCAUGGUUCAAAAGUGAAAGACGGUCUUGCUGUCACUUAUAGAUGGAUCCGCGCUGCAUUAGCUAGUUGGUAAGGUAACGGCUUACCAAGGCAACGAUGCAUAGCCGACCUGAGAGGGUGAUCGGCCACACUGGAACUGAGACACGGUCCAGACUCCUACGGGAGGCAGCAGUAGGGAAUCUUCCGCAAUGGGCGAAAGCCUGACGGAGCAACGCCGCGUGAGUGAUGAAGGUCUUCGGAUCGUAAAACUCUGUUAUUAGGGAAGAACAUAUGUGUAAGUAACUGUGCACAUCUUGACGGUACCUAAUCAGAAAGCCACGGCUAACUACGUG